UACGUAGGGGGCUAGCGUUGUCCGGAAUCAUUGGGCGUAAAGGGCGCGUAGGCGGCUUGGCAAGUGGAUGGUGAAAUCCCUCGGCUUAACCGAGGAACUGCCGUCCAAACUGCUUCGCUUGAGACCGGGAGAGGUGAGUGGAAUUCCCAGUGUAGCGGUGAAAUGCGUAGAUAUUGGGAGGAACACCAGUGGCGAAGGCGGCUCACUGGACCGGUACUGACGCUGAUGCGCGAAAGCGUGGGGAGCAAACGGG
RNAcentral lists this ribosomal RNA (253 nucleotides) under uncultured bacterium. Its description in RNAcentral is "partial 16S ribosomal RNA". It matches the Rfam family "Bacterial small subunit ribosomal RNA", at positions 524 to 776 of the family's 1533-position model. The record is from RNAcentral.